GACGGUCCCGGAGGCGUCAAAACAUUCGUCUGCAGUUUUCUCCGCGCCUGGAGUCCCGCGGAGGCCGAGGCAAGGGAGGCGUCAUUUACUGGCCUUGUUGCUGCUGUGUUUCCUCUUACUGGAGUCUUGGGGGGAAGGCGUGAGGCGAGGAGAGCCGCGACACACUGCCAGACAACGCAGCACCGGCAGGAGAGGCGGGCACAGGUCUGGCCAGCACCAUCAAGACUAACACCAGCGGCAGCAUCGGAGAGGUGAGGGCCGUGGCGAUGCUGGACCCUAUGGUGGUGGUGGCGUGCUGUGCCGGCCUGGGUCUGACGCUGUCCUUCCUCACUCUGGGCAGCUCGCGCCUCCCCCACCACACACACCACAGACAGGCACCAGCAGGAGGAAAGGAGGAGGAAGACGAGGAGGAGGAGGAAGAGGAAGAGGGACGACCUGGUGGCGGCGGUGAUGGCAGAGGCGAUGACGACCCAAAUGACGGACGAUUAUUCAGACUCAGAGGAGGAGGAGGAAGAGGAGGCGGAGGCGAAGGAGGAGGAGGAGGAUUACGGGGAAGGAGUAGCCGCAGCGGAAGGGGGAGUGCGUUCGGCAGGAGGCGCGUCAUGAUCGUAACAGCGCACCCCGACGAUGAGGUCAUGUUCUUCGGACCGACGAUACUGCAUUUUACACGUCAAGAGGAGGCACUCGUCUAUAUCCUGUGUAUGUCGACUGGCAACUACUAUGGUCAGGGGAGGGUGCGCGGACAAGAGCUUCUGGCCAGCUGUCAUCUACUGGGCGUGGAGAGCGACAAUGUUACCAUCUACCGCUGUGACGACCUUCCCGAUGAUCCUGAUGUCGUCUGGCCAACCGUGCGCACCGCCAACCUCAUCAACCACCACCUCCAUGCGCUUGAUGUGGAUAUGGUGGUGACCUUUGACAUGGGUGGUGUGAGUGGGCAUAUCAACCACUCAGCACUCUUCUUUGCCCUUCAGCACCUUGUCGAGAGGGAGGUGCUGCCCCCUAGGUGUGAGCCGUACGCGCUGGACACGGUGGGCAUAGUGAGGAAAUACUCAUCCCUGCUUGAUGUGCCCAUCAGCUACUCUCUCUCAUCCUGUGCCUUCACCGUCGACAGGAAGAACCACGCUAUACUCCAGAGAGCCAUGCGCGCCCACUCCUCACAAUACGCUUGGUUCCGCCGCCUCUACAUGUUCUUCUCGCGUUACGUCCUCAUCAACACACUCUCCCGGGUCACCCCAUAGCCUCCAGUGACCCGCGUGAGUCGCUGCCAGGUCGCCGCGAGUCCCUAAGUUCGCCGGUGAAUCCAUGUUGCGUCAUACAUAGAUUUUUAUUAAUAUUACGUACCCAAGUUUGUAUGUAGUGGGCGGGAUAUUCUCGGGGUGUAGUGGAGUGAUUUGAGGCUGUGCUGGGUAGUGUGUGUGUGUGUGUAGAGGAGUGGUGUGUGUGUGUGUGUGUGUGUUUUGCAUAAUAUAAGGAUGGAAGGAAAGGAGGGAGAGAGAGAGAGAGAGGAAGGGAAAGGAAGGAGGAGAGGAAGAGAGAGAGAGAGAAGGGAAGAUAAACAUGAGAGAGAGAGAGAGAGAAGGGAAGAUAAACAUGAGAGAGAGAGAGAGAGAGGAAAGGAAGGAAGAGAAGGAGAAAGGAAGAAAAUAAUGAGAGAGAGAGAGAGAGAGAGAGAGAGAGAGAGAGAGAGAGAGAGAGAGAGAUGAAAGGAAGGGAAGGAAAAAUUGAAGGAAACUAUGGAAGCAAGGAGAAGGAAAGGAAGGAAGGAAGGAAAGAAAGAUUAAGAAAAUAACAGGGAAAUCCAAGCCAGAACCAUUUAUCCAACAUACAUAAUUUCGUAACGUGAGAGCCUUGCGUGUGGUGUUUCGUCAGCCAGUCAGGUGAAGUGAUUUAAGUGACGCAUUCGUAAGAUCUGAAAGCCUUGCGUGUGAGUGUGUGUGUCUCAUAACUGUUGGUAUUUCGUCAGCAAGUUAGUUGGGGUGAUUUAAGCGACGCAUUCGUAAGAUCUCAAAGCCUUGCGUGUGAAUGUGGGUGUCUCAUAACUGUUGGUAUUUCGUCAGCAAGUUAGUUGGGGUGAAUUAAGUGAUGCAUUCGUAAGAUCUGAAAGCCUUGCGUGUGAGUGUGUGUGUCUCAUAACUGUUGGUAUUUCGUCAGCAAGUUAGUUGGGGUGAUUUAAGUGACGCAUUCGUAAGAUCUGAAAGCCUUGCGUGUGACUGUGGGUGUCUCAUAACUGUUGGUAUUUCGUCAGCAAGUUAGUUGAGGUGAUUUAAGUGACGCAUUCGUAAAAUCUGAAAGGCUUGCGUGUGAGUGUGUGUGUCUCAUAACUGUUGGUAUUUCGUCAGCAAGUUAGUUGGGGUGAUUUAAGCGAUGCAUUCAUAAUAUCGUAACACGCGAGAGCCUUUCGUAUGAGUUCGUGUGUGUCAUAAGUCAGAUCCAUUAUUCCUUCACUCUCGAAAUAGCAAUGCAUUCGUAAUAUUGUAAAAAGCAAGAGCCUUUCGUAUAAGUCCGUGUGUGUCUCGUAAAUUGGGAAGAGGUCAUUUACCCCUUUGACGUCAUAACAUAAAUGCAUUCGUAAUUCCAUAAUCUGCGUGAGCCUUUCGUAUGAGUCCGUGUGUGUCUUGUAAGUUUGGAGCGUGUCCGUCAUUCCCUUCCGUCAAAACAGCAAUGCAUUCGUAAUUUCGUAAUGCGCAAUGGCCUUCCUAAAAAGUUCGUGUGAGUCUGUGUGUGUCUCGUGAAUUAGGGACAAAUCCGUCAUUCCUUCACCGUCAAAACAGCAAUGGUUUCGUAAUAUGCGUGAGCCUUUCGUAUGAGUUCGUGUGGGUCAGUGUGUGUCUCGUAAGUUAGGGACAAGUCCAUCAUUCCUUCACCGUCAAAACAGCAAUGCUUUCGUAAUAUGCGUGAGCCUUUUGUAUGAGUUCGUGUGGGUCAGUGUGUCUCGUGAAUUAGGGGCAAAUCCAUCAUUCCUUCACCGUGGAAACAGCAAUGGUUUCGUAAUAUGCGUGAGCCUUUCGUAUGAGUUCGUGUGGGUCAGUGUGUGUCUCGUAAGUUAGGGACAAAUCCAUCAUUCCUUCACCGUCAAAACAGCAAUGGUUUCGUAAUAUGCGUGAGCCUUUCGUAUGAGUUCGUGUGGGUCAGUGUGUGUCUCGUAAAUUAGGGACAAAUCCGUCAUUCCUUCACCGUCAAAACAGCAAUGCUUUCGUAAUAUGCGUGAGCCUUUCAUAUGAGUUCGUGUGGGUCAGUGUGUGUCUCGUAAGUUAGGGACAAGUCCGUCAUUCCCUUACCGUCAAAACAGAAAUGCAUUCGUAAUUUCGUAAUGCACAACUGCCUUCCUAAAACAUUCGUGUGUGUUAGUAUGUAUCUUGUAAAUUGAGUACAAGUUAUUUAUACCUUCACCGUCAAAACAGCAAUCCAUUCGUAAUUUUGCAAUCCGCUGGAACCUUCCGAAUGAGUGUGUGGGUCAAUUCGUGUCUCGUAAAUUAGGGGCAAGUUCGUCAUUCCUUUACGUCAUAACAGCAAUGCAUUCGUAAUUUCGUAACAUGCAUGAGCCUUUUCGUAUGAGUUCGUGUGGGUCAGUGUGUGUCUCAUAAAUUAGGGGCAAGUUCGUCAUUCCUUUACGUCAUAACUGCAAUGCAUUCGUAAUUUCGUAACAUGCGUGAGCCUUUUCGUAUGAGUUCGUGUGGGUCAGUGCGUGUGUCGUAAAUUAGGGGCAAGUUCGUCAUUCCCUCGCCAUUGAAAUAGCAACGCAUUCCUAAUUUCGUAACACACGAGAGCCUUUCGUAUGAGUGUGUGUGAGUGCGUGUGUAUCAUAAAAGAAGGCCAGUAAGUCACUUAGUCAGUCAAAACAGUUUAUGCGUCAGUCAGUCAGCGAGUCAAAAUGGUUUAAGCAACACAUCCGUAAUAUCGUAAAAUGUGAGAGGCUUUCGUAUGAGUGUGUGUGAGUGCGUCAGUCAUUACGUACGAGUCUCCAUGCAUGAUACGAGUUGUCUGUUGGAGGUACGGGACAGGGGUAGAGGGGGGGGAGGAGGAGGAGGAGGAGGCGUUACGCUUCAAAAUAACCACUACGCAAGUCCCCGAGUCUCCAUGCAUGCUACGAGUUGUCUGUGGGGGGUACGGGACAGGGAUGGAGGGGGAGGAGGCAUUACGCGUCAGAACAACCACUCCGCAAGUCCCCCCCUUCGUCGAGUCCACGGUACGUUUUCUAUGCAAGCCAAAUAUACCCGUAGUAGACGUAGUAUUUGCCGAUCCUAUAGUCAGCAUAGCGCCCGUCAUUAUCAGCUUGCGUAUCGACACUAAGGUUAUGAGACAGUUAAGAUAUCGCCUUGUUAUGUAAUACUGCAUUGACGUAAAGACUCAUAGCGUACGUAAUAGAGGGAAGCGUCGUUGGGGGUUAGUUACGAGCCAUAGUGAGUAGGCUAUACACAGAGAGAGAGAGAUUUUUAAUACGUAUAUACAUUAUUUUUUCAUACUGUUAAAAUUGGUUGCCAGUUUGUAAGGUUGAAAUUGAACGUAUUUGAAGAGUUACGGAGCGCAAAAUAAUAAGAAGAGGAAGAGGAAGAAGAAGGAGGAGGAGGAGGAGGAGGAGAGGAAAUGAUCAUGACAAUAGUAAUACAAGAAAAGGAGAAGAAAUGGAGGAAGAGGAAGGAAGAAGAUAAGGAAGGGAAGGGAGAGAGGAGAGGAAGAGAAGGGAAGAGGGAGGAAGGAAGGAGAGGAGGAGAACGGAAGAGGGAGAAGAUAAGCAAAGGAAGGGAGAGAGAGGAGAGGAAGGGAAAGGCAGAAGAAGGGAAGAGGGAGGAAGGAAGAUAAGGAGGAGGGAAGGGAGAGAGAGAGAGGAAGAGAAGGAAGGAAGGGAGAGAGAGAGAGAGGAAGAGGAAGGGAAAGAGGAGAGAAGGGAAGAGAUGAGAGAGAGGAAGGAAGGAAGGAAGGAAGAGAGAGAGUGAGGAAGAGGAAGGGAAAGAGGAGAGAAGGGAAGAGAUGAGAGAGAGGAAGGAAGGAAGGAAGGGAGAGAGAGAGAGAGAGUGAGGAAGAGGAAGGGAAAGAGGAGAGAAGGGAAGAGAUGAGAGAGAGGAAGGGAGAGGGAGAGAGAGUGAGGAAGAGGAAGGGAAAGAGGAGAGAAGAGAAGAGAUGAGAGAGAGGAAGGAAGGGAGGGAGAGGGAGAGAGAGAGAGGAAGAGGAAGGGAAAGAGGAGAGAAGGGAAGAGAUGAGAGAGAGGAAGGAAGGAAGGAAGGGAGAGAGAGAGAGAGGAAGAGGAAGGGAAGAGAUGAGAGAGAGGAAGGAAGGAAGGAAGGAAGGGAGAGGGAGAGAGAGUGAGGAAGAGGAAGGGAAAGAGGAGAGAGAGGAAGGAAGGAAGGAAGAGAGAGAGAGAGAGGAAGAGGAAGGAUGGGAGGAACAUGAAAAUCUGUAAAUUGUCUCUUUAAUAAUCUAAGGUUCACACACACACACACACACACACACACACACACAGACACACACACACAUGACUGUAUACACAUGGCAAACAUUCAUUAACUCCUAUGGCAGAUUUGGCUUUCAACUAACAUCUUUGGGAGAGAGAUUUAACCCUUCCGCUGCGAUUGUCACGGAUUUCUCCUUCCCUGGUAGCCUGGUAACAGAUAGGUAGGUUUUAUAAGAUACUUUGGCAUUUCACAUCAGCUGUUUCUAAAGGUCAAAGAAGGGGUCAGUUGGGUUCUAAUGUCUGUUUCUUGAGGGUCAUGGUACAGAGGAAAGGUCACACUACCACCAGGGUCACACAGCUACCCCUGGAAAUGCCCACAACUCCUAUGAAAGCCUUGUCAAAUGUGUGUUUCUUCAGGUUCACGGUACAGAGGAAGGGUCACACUACCACCAGGGUCAUAAAACUACCCCUGGAAAUGCCCACAACUCCUAUGAAAGCCUUGUCAAAUGUGUGUUUCUUCAGGUUCACGGUACAGAGGAAGGGUCACACUACCAUCAGGGUCAUAAAACUACCCCUGGAAAUGCCCACAACUCCUAUGAAAGCCUUGUCAAAUCUGUGUUUCUUUAGCUUCACGGUACAGAGGAAGGGUCACACAACUCCUGGAAAUGCCCACAACUCCUACGAAAGCCUUGUCAAAUGUGUGUUUCUUGAGGUUCACGGUACAGAGGAAGGGUCACACAACUCCUGGAAAUGCCCACAGCUCCUAAGAAAGCCUGGUCAAAGGUUCUUGUGUUACAUCGGGACUGGAAGUGUUACGAUCGUGGUUACGCAAUGAGAAACUAAAGGGCUUAUGACGUAAUGGGUAUGUGAACAGUUAUUUGUUCUUGUGUUGCAUAGAGUGUUACGAGGCUUGUGUUACUGUUUUUUUAUUGGUAAAGGAGAGAGAGAGAGAGAGAGAGAGAGAGAGCGAUAGCAUAAUAGUGUUACAUCAAAGUGUUACAUGAGUUCAUAGUGGCUUUGUGUUGCGUAGAAGUGUUACGAGUCUUGUGUUGCUGAUUUUUUUAUUGGUAAAGGAGAGAGAGAGAGAGUAUUCUUAGUGUUAUGUCAAAGUGUUACAUGAAUUUAUAUUGCUGAAAAAACUACCUUUGUGUUGCGUAUAGAGGUGUUACGAGUCUUGUGUUGCUGAUUUCUUAUUGGUAAAGGAAAGAGAGAGAGUAUUCUUAGUGUUAUGUCAAAGUGUUACAUGAAUUUAUAUUGCUGAAAAAACUCCCUUUGUGUUGCGUAUAGAAGUGUUACGAGUCUUGUGUUGCUGAUUUCUUAUUGGUAAAGGAGAGAGAGAGAGAGAGAGAGAAUUCUUAGUGUUACUUCAAAGUGUUACAUGAAUUUACAUUGCAGAAAACUGGCAUUGUGUUGCGUAUAGAAGUGUUACGAGUCUUGUGUUGAUGAUUUCUUUUUGUUUAUUGAGAGAGAGAGAGAGAGAGAGAGAGAAUUCUUAGUAUUACUUCAAAGUGUUACAUGAAUUUACAUUACAGAAAACUGGCAUUGUGUUGCGUAUAGAAGUGUUACGAGUCUUGUGUUGAUGAUUUCUUAUUGGUAAAGGAGAGAGAGAGAGAGAGAGAGAGAGAGAGAGAGAGAAUUCUUAGUGUUACUUCAAAGUGUUACAUGAAUUUACAUUGCAGAAAACUGGCGUUGUGUUGCGUAUAGAAGUGUUACGAAAUCUGUGUUGCCGUUAGGUUCGUGGACUGAAAAUGGGGUAGGAAAGAGAAGGAGCAUAUCAGUGUUACGUUAAGGUCAUACAAGUGUUUCAAAGGCCAAUACAAGCGUUGAGUGUGUUACAAGAUAUACCGGACCAAGAGUGGGUAUAUAGUGUUACGGGAAGUGUUGCAAGUGUUACUAAAAGCCGAUAGAAGUGUUGAAUGUGUUGCAAGAUAUACCGGACCAAGAGGAGCUAUGUAGUGUUACGGGAAGUGUUGCAAGUGUUACUAAGGCCCAUGGAAGUGCUGAAUGUGUUGCAGGAUAUACCGGACCAAGAGUAGCUAUGUAGUGUUACGGGAAAGUGUUGCAAGUCUUACCAAAGCCCAUGGAAGUGUUGAAUGUGUUGCAGGAUAUACCGGACCAGGAGUAGCUAUGUAGUGUUACGGGAAAGUGUUGCAAGUGUUACCAAAGCCCAUGGAAGUGUUGAAUGUGUUGCAGGAUAUACCGGACCAAGAGUGGCUAUGUAGUGUUACAGGAAAGUGUUGCAAGUCUUACCAAAGCCCAUAGAAGUGUUGAAUGUGUUGCAGGAUAUACCGAACCAAGAGUAGCUAUGUAGUGUUACGGGAAAGUGUUGCAAGUCUUACCAAAGCCCAUGGAAGUGUUGAAUGUGUUGCAGGAUAUACCGGACCAAGAGUAGCUAUGUAGUGUUACGGGAAAUGUUGCAAGUGUUACUAAAAGCCGAUAGAAGUGUUGAAUGUGUUGCAGGAUAUACCGGACCAAGAGUAGCUAUGUAGUGUUACGGGAAGUUGUUGCAAGUGUUACUAAAAGCCGAUAGAAGUGUUGAAUGUGUUGCAAGAUAUACCGGACCAAGAGGAGCUAUGUAGUGUUACAGGAAAGUGUUACAAGUCUUACCAAGGCCCAUGGAAGUGUUGAAUGUGUUGCAGGAUAUCCCGGACCAAGAGUAGCUAUGUAGUGUUACAGGAAAGUGUUGCAAGUCUUACCAAAGCCCAUGGAAGUGUUGAGUGUGUUGCAAGAUAUACCGGACCAGGAAUGACUAGGAGCGUUACGGGAAAGUGUUGCUGGAGCCCAUAGGAGUGUUGAAUGUUACGUAAAUUGACCUCACUCGACUGGCCAUUUUGUGUUACCGAGUGUUGCAUAAGGGACCAUUACGCUGUUGUGUUGCGCCCCGGUGUUCCGUCGUCACGUGCGGAGGCUAUGUGUUACGGCGAGUGUUUCGUAUACGCGCGUCACGCCCCACGAGUGUGUUACGAGACCUUACCUUAGUGUUGAUAGGUGUGUUGCCAUUAAGUUAAGCUAAAAAUAUGUUUGAUUUUAAUAUUUAGGAAAAGUUUUGGAUGAUGAGAUUUGUUUGUUAUCUUCCUCUGUCUCUCCUCCUCCUCCUCCUCUUCCUCCUCCCUUCCUCUUUCUCUUCCUUUCCUCUUCUUCCUCUGUCUCUCCUCCUCCUCCUCCUCUUCCUCCUCUUUCUCUUCCUUUCCUCUUCUUCCUCCCUUCCUCUGUCUCCUCCUCUUUCUCUUCCCCUUCCUUCUCCUCCUCCUCCUCCCUCCUGACAUCUACAAACAAUCCCUUCCUCUCUCUCCUCCUUCUUCCUCCUCCUUUUCCUUCCAGACAUCUGCUCCAAAAAAAAUCCCUUCCUCUCUCUCCCAUCAUUCUUUCUCUUCCCCUUCUUCCUCCUCCUCCUCCUCCUCCUCCUCCUCCUCCUGACAUCACCAAAAUAUCCUUCAACAGGAGUCACAAUUUAAUUUUCUUGUAUGAUUAUAUAUGAGAGAGAGAGAGAGAGAGAGAGAGAGAGAGUGUUGGCAAUGUAAUGUAGUCACUAGAAGGAAGGGAGGAGGAGGAAGAGGAAGGAAGGAAGGGGAAGAGGUAGAAAAUAUAGGGGAGGAGGAGGAGGAGAAAGAAGAGGGGAAGGAAGGGAGGAGGAAGACAAUAUAUGGGAGAGGAACAGAGAGGAGAGGAAGGAAGGAAGAGGAGGAGGAGGAAGAAGAGGAAGGAAAGGAAGAAGAAAUUAUAAACAGAGAGGAGGAGGAGGAGAAAGAAGGGGAAGAGGAAGAAAGGGAGAGAGGUCACAUGGGAAGGAGGAGAGGAAGGAAGGAAGAGGAGGAGGAGAAGGAGAAAGAAGGGGAGAGGAGAAGGAAAGGAAGAGGAAGAGUAGAAAAUAUAGGAGAGGAACAGAGAGGAAGGAAGGGAGGAGGAGGAGGAGGAGGAAAGGAAGAGGAAGAAAAUAUAUUGAAGAGGAGGAGGAGGAGAGGAAGGAAGGGAGGAGGAAUAGGAGGAGAAAGAAGAGAGGAAGGAAGAAAGGAGGAGGAGGAGAGGAAGGAAGGAAGGAGGAGGAAGAAAAUAUAUGGGAGAGAAGAGGAGGAGAGGAAGAGGAAGGAAGGGGAGGUCACUCGUAAAUAAUGUGAUCAACUUGUCGCUGGAUAUCUCAAAAAUCUCUCGGCCUGUUUACAAAUUACGUCAACACUUUUAAACCCAUCAGCUGCCUGUUACGACUCUCUCCCAACGCCUGAAACAAGACUGAAUUAACUCCUUUAUUUUCCUCUCUGUGUUAACCCAAUACACAUCACAAUACCUAAGGGCUUUGAAAAUAUAAUAAGUGUUUUUCUAAGUAACCUUCCAGUGUCCGGGAGUGAGCGUAAGGCGAUUCUCAUUAGCGUAAGAUUGGGAUUGUAAAAGAUGUGAUUGAGCUUGUGUAUAGAAUGUUUACUUGAUUGUUUUGACCUUUUCUCGGAUGACUGUACAUGCGUGUGACCUCAAAGCUGAUUCUCUUUACUGUAUAACACACACACACACACACACACACACACACACACACACACCAAAUUGGAGGAGCCCAGCUUACCAACACUAGAAGAAGCAGAGAGAGAGGAGACCUGAUUGCGUUGUACAGGAACACAAGCAGAAUGGACGUGGAUAGAAAUGAUUUGAGAUGGAAGGGAGGAGGCAGCUUAGAGGACACAGGUAGGAAUUGAGAACGGAACUGGUUUGAAUGACCUUAAGAAGUUCGGUUUUCCAUGCAGGAGUGAGACAUGGGGUGGAGGUAACUUAGACAUUGUUGAAGGGGAAUUGUACAUGGAGUGAAGGAAGCUGGAUAUAGAUUGGUCGAGAGGACUGACCCAGCUUGACCUCAGACCCUGCACACACACACACACACACACACAUACGAUCGGUGAAAUAUAACUGGAUGCAAAAAUUAUCUUGCAAUGCUUCAAGACUUUACUUAUGUGUGUGUGCAUGGCUGGGCACGAUAACAGAAAACCUUAUUCCCGAUAACCGAUAACCGAUAUUCGUUAACUGGAGACACAAAUAUAGGCGAUAACCGAUAACCGAUAACCGAUACCCGAUAUAAAUCUACAAUUCCGAUACUAGCUAGCGAUAAGUCCGAUAGGCGAAAACGAUACUAUAUUGAUAUUUCAAAUAAAAAAUAUAGAUGAAUUCAAAUUUUCAUUAUCUGUAUUUUAGAAAACUUACAAAACCUGAAAACCACA
Eriocheir sinensis (Chinese mitten crab) is the source of this 10587-nucleotide RNA transcript. It is a transcript of the gene named N-acetylglucosaminyl-phosphatidylinositol de-N-acetylase-like, with no coding region annotated. Lineage: Eukaryota; Metazoa; Arthropoda; Malacostraca; Decapoda; Varunidae. The transcript is spliced from 15 exons. The record is from RefSeq and is a predicted model, not a curated record.